AGUAGUAGUGUAUAUAGUAGCCGUGUAUAUAGCAGUAGAAGUAAUAAUAAUAGUAAUAAUAAUAAUAAUAAUAGGGCAACAGUUCGCUCUUAUUCAUAAAAUCAUUCUUUUCACCGUCACGUUCAAGUUUUAGUGAUUAAAUAAUACAAGGAAGCAUGACAGUUGAACCUAACGCUCAUAUUCUCGAACGCUUCGGGGCCUACACCACCGUUGCCAGAUUAUCGUCCUCAGAACAUAGUAUUUACCGGUUUCUAAGCCAUAACUAUUGCCAAGAAACACCGAUAAUUAACCACUUCAACGAUAACUAUAUAUGAAGUCAGUUAAUGGGGUGGAGGAGACAGGUUAUGGCUCUGAAUUCGGCAAACAUAAGAGGAUGAGUAGGACAAUCUGGCAACGCUGGCCUACACACAUAUAUGAUGAAAAUUUCGUAAGAGUUGUGAACAUGUCCACGGAUAGUUUUGCGAACCUAGUAAUAGUUUGACUAGGCUUCUUCUGCACCGUGAACGUUGAAGACACUCAUGAGAACCAAACAUAUAUUCCUUGUGAUCGAGAGAGAGAGAGAGAGAGAGAGAGAGAGAGAGAGAGAGAGAGAGAGAGAGAGAGAGAGAGAGAGAGAGAGAGAGAGAGAGAGAGAGAGAGAGAGAGAGAGAGAGAGAGAGAGAGAGAUUCCAUAUGACCGUUUCCGUUUUUGGUCCUAAUAUGUUUAAUUGGGUCCUUCUGUCUAAAGUUAACUGCCCAAUUACUUUUUGUUCCUAACCGCCAUUAUAAUAUUCCUAAACUCAAUGAGGCAACGAGUUAGUUUAAGCGCUUAUUACUUUCAACUACUUUUUUUCCUAAUCGUCACUAGAAUCCACCAAACACGAGUAGGUGAGAGAGAGAGAGAGAGAGAGAGAGAGAGAGAGAGAGAGAGAGAGAGAGAGAGAGAGAGAGACGAUUCCAUAUGACCGUUUCCGUUUUCGGUCCUAAUAUGUUUAAUUGGGUCCUUCUGUCUAUCUUAAGUUAACUGCCCAAUUACUUUUUGCUCUUAACCAUUAUAAUAUUCCUAAACUCAAUGAGGUAACGAGUUAGUUUAAGCGCUUAUUACUUUCAACUACUUUUUGUUCCUAAUCGUCACUAGAAUCCACCAAACAUGAGGUUAGAACAAGUAGGUUUUAGCUCAUAUUACUUUCCCCAUGGCUCGCAUUUUCCUUUCACUUCUAAAAAUAAAUUUGCAAAUAAAUAAAUGAAUAACAACAAUUUCCUAGUAUACAAAUGUCAUCAUCGCAGCAAUGACUCGUUUAAAUAUUUCUACACGAUUCAGUUUGGCAAAAAGAUGAAUGUCAGGUCCCCCUCCCCGUCACACUAUUGUAUCUAAGGCGCGACAUCACUAAAUAAAUAAAAUACUGUAUCUUUCCUAACGUGCGCUAGACUCAAGGGGCUUUUCGCAAACAAUAUUCUCGAAACACAUCUGUAUCAUCACGAAGAAAGAAACCGUCACACUGUUUUCUCUAAGGUGCGAUGUCUCUAAAUAAAGAAAAUACUGUAUCUUUCCUAAUGUGCUUUUAACUCGAGGUCUUUCCCAAACCCUACCCUGAAGAACAAGAGUAACGUAGCCUUCAAGUUACGAUACUCUCCAAAAACUCUUCUUUAUCAUCACGAAGAAAGAAACCGUCACACUAUUUUAUCUAUGGCGCGACAUCUCUAAAUAAAUAAAAUACUGUAUCUUUCCUAACGUGUAAUAAAUUCAACUGGCUUUUCGCAAACAAUAUUCUCGAAACACAUCUGUAUCAUCACGAAGGAAGAAACCGCCACACUAUUUUAUUUAACGCGCGAAAUGUAUGAAUAAAGAAAAUACUAUCUUUUUUCCUAACAAACAAUACUCUCGAAACAUCUGUAUUAUCACGAAAAAAGAAGCCAUUACACUGUUUUAUCUAAGGUGCGAUAUGUAUGAAUUAAGAAAAUAUAUUAUAUACUGUAGCUUUCCUAACGUGCGCUAAGCUCUAGUGGCUUUUCACAAACAAUACUCUCGAAACAUCUGUAUUAUCAUGAAAUAAGAAGCCAUCACACUGAUUUAUCUAACGCGCGAAAUGUAUGAAUAUAGAAAAUAUAUGCUGUAGCUUUCCUAACGUGCGCUAAGCUCUAGUGGCUUUUCACAAACAAUACUCUCGAAACAUCUGUAAUGUCACGAAAAAAAAGCCAUUACACUGUUUUAUCUAAGGUGCGAAAUGUAUGAAUAUAGAAAAUAUAUACUGUAGCUUUCCUAACGUGCGCUAAACUCGUGUCUUUUCACAUACACCACCCUAAAAACAAGUCACGGUGCCCUCCUCAGUUACGCUAUGCACUGGAAACUCAUCUCUAUCAACAUUAGAAGUACGGCACUGUUUUAUCUAACGUCCGACGAUAUCCACAAAAGAGUAACGUAUCUUUCCUCAAAAUUACGAUACCCUCUCGAAACUUAUAUUUCUUUAUCAACAUGCAAUAAAGAAACCGCCACACUGUUGUAUAUAACGCAAGACAAUAUCCACACAAAAAGUAACGUAGUCUUCCUGAAAGUCACGAUACUCUCCUGAAACUUAUCUUCAUCAUGAAAAACAGAGAAACCCUCACGCUGUUUUAUCUAACGUACGACAAUAUCUACACACAAAAAGUAACUUAGCCUUCCUGAAAGUCACGAUACUCUCCAGAAACUUAACUUCAUCAUGAGAAAAAGAGAAACCGCCACGCUGUUUUAUCUAACGUACGACAAUAUCCACACACAAAAAGUAACGUAGUCUUCCUGAAAGUCACGAUACUCAACAGAAACUAAUCUUCAUCAUGAGAAAAAGAGAAACCGCCACGCUGUUUUAUCUAACGUACGACAAUAUCCACACACAAAAGCAACAUAGCCUUCCUCAAAAUUACGAUACUCUCUCGAAACUCAUCUUCCUUUAUCAACAUGAAAUAACGAAACCGCACAAAAAAGUGACGUAGCCUUUCUGAAAAUCACGAUAUUGUCCAAAAACUUAUCUUUACCAUCACGAAAAAAAUGGAAACCGCCACGCACGAUAGCCGCCACGCUGUUUUAUCAAAGGUACGACAAUAUCCACUCGGGUCUCGACGCCGAACACUUCGCAGCACAAAAACUUGGACCCGUGGGACAUGUGCAUACUUUCCCCUUCACUUUCCUGUGCUCUCUGACAUAUACAACAAGUUCAAUCUAGGCACCGACGCUCCAGUUUUCCUUAAUUUCGAACCAGAUUUUGAUUACCAUUAUAGUCGUUACAUUUCUGUCUUGCUUGCUGCCUUUCUGCUGUUUUUUGUUGCUCUGAAAGGUCAUGGAAGGGAGGAGGAGGAGGAGGAGGCGGAGGAGGAGAGGCAGGGCAGGUCAGCAGGAAGAAAGGAGAAGAGGGGGGAGGAGGAGUGAAUAGGCGGAUAGUGAGCGAGUGAUUGUUACAUUUCUGCUUUGUCUGCUGUCUUUCUGCUGGUUUUUGCUGCUUUGAAAGGUCAUGAAAGGGAGGAGGAGGAGGAAAAGGAAGAGAGGCAGGGCACGAUAGCAGGAAGAAAGAAGGAGGAGCGAGAAAGCAGAUAUUGAAUGAGUGAUUGUUACAUUUCUGGUUUGUUUGCUGCCUUUCUGCUGGUUUUUGCUGCUUUGAAAGGUCAUGGAAGGGAGGAGGAGGAGGAGGAGGAGGAAAAGGAAGAGAGGCAGGGCACGAUAGCAGGAAGAUAGGAGGAGGAGCGAGAAAGCAGAUAUUGAAUGAGUGAUUGUUACAUUUCUGGUUUGUUUGCUGCCUUUCUGCUGGUUUUUGCAGCUCUGAAAGGUCAUGGAAGGGAGGAGGAGAGGCAGGCCAGGUCAGGAGAAGUGAGUAGGCAGAUAGCGCACAUGAGUGAGUGAUUAUAUGUUACAUUUCUGCUUUCUCUGCUGCCUUUCUGUUAUUUUCUUUUCCGUUCUGAGAGGUCAUGGGGAAAAGGAGGAGGAGGAGGAGGAGUAAAAGGAAGAAGGAUAGAGGGUGAGAAGACAGCCAGAGCAAGGUGUGGGUGGGGAGUGAGUUUGCAAAAUUAUCUAAACUGGUUCCCUUUCAAAGUAACGCCGCCAGCCUCUUAGAAGCUUUCAUAAACGAGUAAAGUUGAUUAGUAAUGCUGCUUCCUUUUUUUCUCUCAGACUGGUGGGUUGACCAAUAAGGUAAAAAAAGAAAAAAAGGAAGUUGGGUAUGCGGGCAAGAGUGACCCCGCGUUGCCUAAUCUUUUAACCUGGUAGCAGCGAUGGGCCAAAUUUGUGGCUUUACCGUGUACCAGCGACGGGCCAAAUUUUUGCCAUGAUAUAAACCCCCUUAAAUAGAUGAUGCAUAAACUAAUCACAAAUGCGUUGAUAUAUGUUAUGAAAUGGUUUGCGUAAGUGAUUUUUUUCUCAUUUUUCUCGCUUUGAGGGGCCUUUAAGAAACAUGAUCCCCGCUGCUACCGAGUUAAACUUGUUCGGCAUUUUAAAGUAUGAGAUCGCACACGCCUUAAAAAAUAUUGGUAUCAUAAACAAAUAAAUACAAAGAAAAUAAAGUAAGUUGGGAAUGUGAACAAGAAAUGACCCCACGUUGCCUAAUCUUUUAAACGUGUUCGACAUUUUAAAGUAUCAGAUCGCACACGCCUUAAAAAUAUUGGUAUCAUAAAUUUAUAAAAAGAAAAUAAAGGAAAUUGGGAAUGUGGACAAAAAGUGACCCCACAUUGCCUAAUCUCUAAACUAGUUCAACAUUUUAAUUAACGAAUCCCACACGCCCUAAACUUGAACGCGUGAAAGAAAAUGUCAACGUGUUAACAGUGACCUAAUCUUGCCCGAUCUUUAUCUUAUAACUAUUUAGCUAUUUUUAGGAUCAAAUCGCACACGUCUUUAAAUUAGUUGGGUUCAUUUACGCGUAAGAGAAGAUAAAUAAAAAAAAAGGGAGUUGGGUUUGAGGUCGAGAAGUAACCCCACAUUGCCAAAGCUUUUAACCUACUUCUCUGUUUUUAGUAUCAAAUUGAACACGUCUAAAAAUAACUGGUAUCAUAAAAAUAAAUGAAAAAAUAAAA
Molecule: long non-coding RNA, 5013 nt
Organism: Eriocheir sinensis (Chinese mitten crab)
Lineage: Eukaryota; Metazoa; Arthropoda; Malacostraca; Decapoda; Varunidae
Exons: 3
Source: RefSeq, a predicted model, not a curated record